RNAcentral lists this microRNA precursor (176 nucleotides) under Oryza glumipatula. RNAcentral's name for it is "MIR807 microRNA precursor family". It matches the Rfam family "MIR807 microRNA precursor family". Lineage: Eukaryota; Viridiplantae; Streptophyta; Magnoliopsida; Poales; Poaceae. The record is from Rfam by way of RNAcentral.
AACCACACUAUCGAUGAAUGGAUUUACUUGCGAGAUGAUGUGGUUAUUUCACAUAGGACGAGGACAUGGCAUCAUAUUACCAGCCAUCACACAAAAUUAACAGGAUGCCACGUCCUCAUCCUAGAUGGAACAACCACGUCAUCUCACGGGUGAAUCCAUUUAUCGAUAGUGUGGUU